This is a long non-coding RNA of Lytechinus pictus (painted urchin), 3084 nucleotides long. RefSeq lists it as uncharacterized. The record is from RefSeq and is a predicted model, not a curated record. Lineage: Eukaryota; Metazoa; Echinodermata; Echinoidea; Temnopleuroida; Toxopneustidae. The transcript is spliced from 3 exons.
CAUCAUAACCGCCGGAAUGCGCCGUUCUGUUAUGAGUGUAACCAUGUCCAUGGUGUAACCAAGCAUAGAAUGAAGGAACAAUCCACCACAUCCAACCAACAUUUUCAUUUAGCCGCCAGAUUGACUCAACGAGAGAACAAAGACAGGGAGCGGAGUAAAAUCUCUAACUGAAAAUUAGACAGACUGGAUUAUUCUGAGGACAAAAGCAUUUCCAAGGACCAUGGAUCUGACCACAUAGGAAAUACAGUGAGAGCAUGAGAAUCUCAAGGAGUGGAUAUAGUCACUGAGAAACCUUACCAUUUAGCAUAUACACUUUAGAGCAGGGACAUGAGAGGGACGUCCCUGCUUGAGAAUCACAGGGGUCAGACAUCGUGAAUAUAGUUAACGAGGUAAGUGAAUCAUAUUUCUAUAGAGUCGAGGGAGUGACUAUUAAACGCAAGUUGAUGUCAUGAAAAUUAACAAAUUUUGCUUAUAUUUAUUUCAUUUGUAUGUAUCUUUUAAUAAAAUUGACUCAUCAUUCCCCUUAUUCUGCUUGAGGAGUUAAUAUCAAAGUGAUACAUUGUUUAUUUGUUGUCGGUUAGGUGACGCACAGCGUCCAAUUAAACAUUUUGUAUGGGUGGAAACCAGAGAACUUCCCCACAUCAACAUAAUACAAUGAGAUCCCAGUAUCGAUUUCAAUAUCACUUCAUCGAUGUAUUUAUUGUAACUAGGCAAUGUGCGAUAAGACCGUUAUUGUGCGGAGACAAAGUAUCUUUGCGGAAGAACUUCACAUUUUCCCGAUUCAAUUCAUUCUUUUAUGAUAAUAAUAGUUUCAUUUUUAUAGUGCUUAUUACACUUUGUUUCUAAGCGCUUUACAUUCCCGCACACGAUGUAUGCACUUUCUCCACUCCCUGGAGAGCAUUCCAACAAGAGUUGCAAGACUCAAUUACUGGGCAUACUACUUAGGCUUUCGCAUCAUACCGGGUACCCAUUUAACACGUGGGGGAAAGGACGCUAGGCCGUGAUGUGAUUCGAACACACGACACACUAUGAUUACAAGGCGAGAGUCAAAACCGCUACACCACGACGCUUUACAGUUCAAACAUAAUACAAAGUAAUGUUAAUCAUCUUAGAAAUUAACGGAUUGACAUCUUAAAGACUGUAAAGAGAAGUAUAAAAAUAGCGCAUAUGCAAAUCCAGGGGGUCCAAUCCCGGGGGGCCAUCCAGGGGGCCCCUUAUUGUAAGCGCAAAAAAGAAAUAAUUUUCACACACGUCUCUGUCCUGUCAAUAUGGCUUCCAAAUAAUUAAUUAGAAUAAUUAUACUAACGUGCAAUACUAAAUUGUACAAUAUAAAAGUAAAGGCAUUUCUCGUUCCACUCGUUCGCAAAGUUUUGAUUAACAUAGUUUCAAGCAGUGAGGUCCAAGCAGGAAGGGAUCCAGGAUUUUCCAGAAGGGAUGCACAUUUUCCCGAUGAAAAUUUUAUAAGCAAAAAAAAGGUUUUCACCUAUAUUGAAGGUUAUUUCGUAGUCGGAAAAUUUGAAUAGCAAAACAAAAAAAAGGUUCUCAUGUUCAAAAUGGCAGGGACACUGAAUAAAAACAAAUUAUAAAUGUUGAUUAUGGCUUUCAAAAGGGGGAGCACGGACCGGCCGGCUGUGCCCCCUACCCUCUAGAUCCGCCUCUGGGUACAAGGGUAGUCUACGUCAUAUUAGUAGCUAUUUUCAAGUCAUCUUUAUAUCACCAUGGCGCUGAAUUAAUGCAGGUUUGUUACCUUCUCUAGUAAAAUGACCAACCCCUUACAUUUCCUAAAAUAACAAUGCGAACGAUUUCUAGCAACAAGAUUAAUGGAUAUCAUAUGUGACCUAAUAUUUUUUAUUACGUUAUGACAUUUUUAUGUUUUGUUUUUAUUGUCGUUCUGCUUGUUCGUAUCCUUUAAAAUCCUGUAGUUGUCAGUAGGUAUAUAUUUAACCCUAUGUUGAGUAUUCUGUCAACACGAUUGUGCCCAUGACCAAAUCAUUGUACUGUAUGUUUCAGCAUCAUGAUUUUUGACUAUUUUUCUCGAACUUACAAAGUAUUGAACACUGCUACAUAUUUAGGGAUGGAUGCCAGCUGUGCUAUGGGCGCAGUAUUCAAAACUCCGCCCUCCAUAUCAUUUUUAACCUCUGUACGUUUACUGGAAGGGCACGCCUCCAAACCAUUAUACUAAAUAGCCUUGGUCACCCAUAAAGGCGAUUUUUUUUUCGAAAUGUUAACAACCCAACGCCAAAGAAAAAUACCAGCUAACGGCAAUUUUGCCUCGCAUCGCGCCCGACGCAUCAGAAACUUAAGCCCCUUUCACAAUUGACGUACGACCAUUUGCGACCUUUUGGUCGUCCGACAGGCUGCAACAGGCAUCAAUCGCUAGUCAUCUUAUGAGAUCGCACAGAGGCUUUCACAAAUACAACAGCUGUCGUACAACAAAAACAACCACUAAACCCCAUUGCACGAGUAGGUCGCAAAUGCUUGCUCGUGCGAUCACAUGCGAGUGUUGCACGAGGGAUUGCGAGUGCAACUGUCGUAUACAUACGAAUGCAACGGUAGUGCAAUGUUGUAAGACGUGUUGCGAUCGGUCUUACAACAGUCUUAUGACCUACAUAUUAUCACACCCAAUCGCAAGACUGGUCUCUAUUGGUCGCUAGCACAUGUGCAAGUGUUGUACCACCUCCAGUCGACUUAAUGCGAUCAAGUCGUACAACGUUGAACAACACUCACACUAUGAUCUCCAGACCGAUGGUGCGAUCUAAUGCGAGUUAAUUGAUCGUAUUUGAUGGCGUUUGGAUUUGAACAUCUUCAAAGUUCAGAUGCGACCAGUCACGACCACCUCGAGUUCGUGCGACCGUCUACAACGAAUGCGAGUGCUCGCAAGACACCAAGAGAUCGAUCGUGCUACAACAAGAAAAAAAAAACUGUUGCAGGCGGUCGUAAACUGGUCGUACGUCAAUUAUGAAAGGGGCUUAAUAUAUAUAUAUAUAGCCCGUUUCAUGAAGGUCGUAUGAUGGUUUGAGCAUGGGGAGGUGGAACUAAAGUGGUAUGGGGUGCACAUUUUGAGGAGGUGAAACUAAAGUUUGG